AGAGUUUGAUCCUGGCUCAGAACGUACGCUGGCGGCACGCCUAACACAUGCAAGUCGAACGAAGUAGCAAUACUUAGUGGCAGACGGGUGAGUAACAUGUAGGUAUCUACCCUUUGGCCUGGAAUAACACGAGGAAACUUGUGCUAAUACCGGAUAAGUCUUUACGGAGAAAGCUUUAUGCACCAUUGGAUGAGCCUGCACUUGAUUAGUUUGUUGGUAGGGUAAUGGCCUACCAAGACUGUGAUCAAUAGCUGAUUUGAGAGGAUGAUCAGCCACAUUGGGACUGAGACACGGCCCAAACUCCUACGGGAGGCAGCAGUGGGGAAUCUUGCACAAUGGAGGAAACUCUGAUGCAGCGAUGCCGCGUGAGUGAAGAAGGCCUUUGGGUUGUAAAGCUCUUUCGUCGGGGAAGAAAAUGACUGUACCCGAAUAAGAAGGUCCGGCUAACUUCGUGCCAGCAGCCGCGGUAAUACGAAGGGACCUAGCGUAGUUCGGAAUUACUGGGCUUAAAGAGUUCGUAGGUGGUUGAAAAAGUUGGUGGUGAAAUCCCAGAGCUUAACUCUGGAACUGCCAUCAAAACUUUUCAGCUAGAGUUUGAUAGAGGAAAGCAGAAUUUCUAGUGUAGAGGUGAAAUUCGUAGAUAUUAGAAAGAAUACCAAUUGCGAAGGCAGCUUUCUGGAUCAAUACUGACACUGAGGAACGAAAGCAUGGGUAGCGAAGAGGAUUAGAUACCCUCGUAGUCCAUGCCGUAAACGAUGUGUGUUAGACGUUGGAAAUUUAUUUUCAGUGUCGCAGUGAAAGCGAUAAACACACCGCCUGGGGAGUACGACCGCAAGGCUAAAACUCAAAUGAAUUGACGGGGACCCGCACAAGUAGUGGAGCAUGUGGUUUAAUUCGAAGAUACGCGCAGAACCUUACCAACACUUGACAUGUUCGUCGCGACUUUAAGAGAUUAAAGUUUUCGUUCGGCCGGACGAACACAGUC
Molecule: ribosomal RNA, 985 nt
Filed under: uncultured Alphaproteobacteria bacterium
Lineage: Bacteria; Pseudomonadati; Pseudomonadota; Alphaproteobacteria
Description: bacterial SSU rRNA
Rfam family: Bacterial small subunit ribosomal RNA
Source: RNAcentral